Molecule: ribosomal RNA, 496 nt
Filed under: uncultured bacterium
Lineage: Bacteria
Description: partial 16S ribosomal RNA
Rfam family: Bacterial small subunit ribosomal RNA
Source: RNAcentral
GAUGAACGCUGGCGGCGUGCCUAAUACAUGCAAGUCGAGCGAACGGACGAGAAGCUUGCUUCUCUGAUGUUAGCGGCGGACGGGUGAGUAACACGUGGAUACCUACCUAUAAGACUGGGAUAACUUCGGGAAACCGGAGCUAAUACCGGAUAAUAUUUUGAACCGCAUGGUUCAAAAGUGAAAGACGGUCUUGCUGUCACUUAUAGAUGGAUCCGCGCUGCAUUAGCUAGUUGGUAAGGUAACGGCUUACCAAGGCAACGAUGCAUAGCCGACCUGAGAGGGUGAUCGGCCACACUGGAACUGAGACACGGUCCAGACUCCUACGGGAGGCAGCAGUAGGGAAUCUUCCGCAAUGGGCGAAAGCCUGACGGAGCAACGCCGCGUGAGUGAUGAAGGUCUUCGGAUCGUAAAACUCUGUUAUUAGGGAAGAACAUAUGUGUAAGUAACUGUGCACAUCUUGACGGUACCUAAUCAGAAAGCCACGGCUAACUACGUG